RNAcentral lists this ribosomal RNA (1450 nucleotides) under uncultured Bordetella sp. RNAcentral's name for it is "partial 16S-23S ribosomal RNA intergenic spacer". It matches the Rfam family "Bacterial small subunit ribosomal RNA". The record is from RNAcentral. Lineage: Bacteria; Pseudomonadati; Pseudomonadota; Betaproteobacteria; Burkholderiales; Alcaligenaceae.
GAGUUCGAUUAUACCACUGAACGCUGGCGGGAUGCUUUACAUAUGCAAGUCGAACGGCACGGACUUCGUCCAGGGCGAGUGGGCGGAACGGGUGAGUAAUGUAUCGGAAUCGUGCCUUAGUAGCGUGAUAACUACGAAAGCGUAGCUACACCGCAUACGCGUUCCUUCGGGGAAAGCGGGGGACCUUCGGGCUCGCACUAUUAGAGCGGCCGAUAUCGGACGAAGAAGGCGGGGUAACGGCUCACCAAGGCGACGAUCCGCAGUUUUGCUGGAGAGGGGACGACUUAGCCACUACACUGGGACCGAGACACGGCCCAGACUCCAUGGGAGGCAGCAGUGGGGAAUUUUGGACAAUGGGGAAACCCUGAUCCAGCCAUCCGGCGUGUGCGACAUGUCUUCUGGGCUGCAGGAAGACUUUGGUAGGAGAAACGGCACGGGAUAAUACCCCGUGCAACUGACGGUACUCCGCAGAAUAAGCACCACAAUUUACGUGUCAGCAGCCAGGUAUUACGAGGGCGCAAGCCGUUAAUCGGAAUUACUGGGGCGUAAAGCGUGCGCAGGCGGUUCGGAAAGAAAGAUGUGAAAUCCCAGAGCAACUUUGGAACUGCAUUUUUAACUAAUGAGCUAUGGGGAGGCUGAGGGGAGUGGGAAUUCGCGUGUAGCAGUGAAAUGCGUAGAUAUGUGGAGGAACACCGAUGGCGAAGGUAGCCUCCUGAUACACCGACGUCAUACACUGAAAGUGGGGAUAAAACAGGAUUAGACACCUGGUAGUCCACGCCCAAACGAUGCCAAUUAGCUGUUGCCUUUGGCCUUUGGUAGCGCAGCUAACGUAUGGUGAAGUUGACCGCCUGUGAGUGUCAGGUCAAAGAUUAAAUCAAAGAAAUUGACGGGACCGUCAGCGGUGAUGAUUAAUUGAUGCAACGCGAAAAACCUUACCUACCCUUAAUACGUGUCUGGAAUCCCGAAGAGAUUUGGGAUGCCUGCAAGAGAACCGGAACACAGGUGCUGCAUGGCUAAGCCGCUGUACUGCAGUCGCAGAUGUUGGGUUAAGUCCCGCAACGAGCAACCCUUGUCAUUAGUUGCUACGAAAGGGCACUCUAAUGAGACUGCCGGUGACAAAACCGAGGUACGGUGUAUGGAUUACCGGGUCCUCAUGGCCCUUAUGGGUAGGGCUUCACACGUCAUACAAUGGUCGGGACGAGGGUCGCCAACCCGCGAGGGGGAGCUAAUCCCAGAAACCUGAUCGUAGUCCGAUCGCAGUCUGCAACUGACCGAAGUUCGGGAAUCAUAGCAAUCGCGGAUCAGCAUGUCGCGGUGAAUACGUUCCCGGGUCUUGGUACACACCGCCCGUCACGACCAUGGAGUGGGCUUUACCAGAAGCAGUUAGCCCAACCGUAUGGAGGGAGAUCACCACGGGUAUCCAUGACUGGGGCGAAGUCGCACAAGGUAG